UGCUCUGGUGUUUGCUGAGCUCUUUCCUCUGGUGGCUUCUAGGUGGAGUCUAAGGUCCCUGGCUGGAUUGAGCGGGUCCUUGGUAUUAAGCAAGAGGAGGUGCAGGCCCAGCUUCAUGACCUGGAACACAGAAUCGUGAGUCAUGUGGCCCAAGAGUGGCCCAAGUCUGUGAGCAAAGCUGCUGCCAUCUUAAGACUGAGCCUUCUGAAGGAAGGAAUGACCACCGGCGUGACGAAGGAGGUGAGGCCUGCCCCACUGGCUGUCCUCCUGGCUGGGGUCACUGGUUUGCCCUCAGAAGAGCCUGCCAGGAGGGAGGGGAAAACCCUGGCUGAGCAGGUAGCAUGCUUGCCCGCCCCCCACAUGGGCUGGGCCAGCCCUGCAGGUGACCUGGCCCCUGAGUAGUGCAUGCCUGUCUUUUAGGAAGUGAACCAGAUCAUAAAGGAGGCCCUGAAAGAACACAGUGAAGAUCGAAUCGGGCUUGUGGAUUAUGCCCUGGAGUCCUCAGGAGCCAGCAUUGUCAGUAGCCACUCCUCAGAGACAUAUGGCAUCAGGACGGAGUGGUCUGCCCAUUUCACUCUGUUGGGCAUCCCAUUGUGGCGCUAUUUCCAGUCGCCAAGAGUCAUCCUCCAGAUGUCUACCCUGGCAACUGCUGGGCAUUCCGGGGCCCCCGGGGCUUUGUCGUGGUGCGCUUGUCUGCCCGGAUCCAGCUCACUGCCAUCACUUUGGAGCACGUGCCCAAAGCCCUGUCCCCAAACAGUGACAUCCCCAGUGCCCCAAAGGACUUUGUC
RNAcentral lists this long non-coding RNA (788 nucleotides) under Vombatus ursinus (common wombat). RNAcentral's name for it is "lncRNA (ENSVURG00010003635.1)". Lineage: Eukaryota; Metazoa; Chordata; Mammalia; Diprotodontia; Vombatidae. The record is from RNAcentral.